AAUUUUAAUUCUUUUAGCUUAAACUAAAGCACUUUACUGAAGAUAAAGAGAACU
RNAcentral lists this transfer RNA (54 nucleotides) under Pardosa laura. RNAcentral describes it as "tRNA-Phe". Lineage: Eukaryota; Metazoa; Arthropoda; Arachnida; Araneae; Lycosidae. The record is from RNAcentral.